CCAACAUAAAACCAUAAUCAUAUAGUAAAAUAAUCAUUAAUUAAUAUCUCUACAUAUGCCAGCUUGACAUGUUCAAAACAUGUUACAACAUGCCUCAUAUAAUCUUUUCUUUGUCUCUUGGGGUCUAUUCCCGAACAUAAACCUCAUUUAAUUACAUUGAUCUACGGGACAAGGUGAGACAAGGUGACACUGAGCGAUAAGAAUGCCAUGUGAUAAGGUGAGACUGACGUAAGUUUGUAAGUGGUCAACCUUGGUCAACAGUAGACCAGUGACUAGACUCAGGGGUAGUUGAGUUCCGGAGAGAUCCAGGAUGCCGACUGAUAAGAAUGGCGGCAAUAUGGCAUCC
This 346-nucleotide long non-coding RNA is filed under the name Oryza brachyantha (malo sina). Its description in RNAcentral is "long non-coding RNA (OBRA_LNC000864)". Lineage: Eukaryota; Viridiplantae; Streptophyta; Magnoliopsida; Poales; Poaceae. The record is from RNAcentral.